UUUCCACUUCCUGUUAUAAAUCGAAAGUAGACAGCAUGGCGGCGGUUUGCGUGUUGUAGAGGACCAAUCUAGGACCCCCGAUGUCUCACAAUAGUAAAUACUAUAGAAAAAAAACUAAAGAAAGACCACUCCAGCCGGAAAAUUGACACGCUAUUUCGGAAGCUGUCCCAGAAUGAAAAUAUAUUCACUGAAGUUAGUCAGUCUGGCCCUACUAUUAGUUCAGUCCUAGAAGUAGAUGUCAGCUCACCGUGUGAAGUUAGUCUGGCCCUACUGUCAGUUCAGUCCUAGAAGUAGAUGUCAGCUCACCGAGUGAAGUUAGUCAGUCCAGCCCUACUGUCGGUUCAGUCCUAGAAUUAGAUUUCAGCUCACCUACAGCCUAUCAAGAUGUUACAGUUGAAUUAAGUGAAGCUACUGGUCCGCGCAGAGUAUCAAAUUUUGAUUCUAGUGUGGAACAAAACAUUUCAGUUACCAUUUCUGGUUCUGAUGUGACACAAAGCAGUGACACUCACGAACAACAAACUAAAGUAAGUCCUACAUGUAGUACUCAACAAUCAGAGGAGGAAUUUAAAACCAAAUCUUGCCGACUUUCCAGCAUACUUACAACAAACUAUGAAAGACAGUAUGAAUGGCUUUUCUUUAGUGCAUCCAAGAAUGGAUAUUGUUGUUAAGUAUUGUGAAAUGUGGGGGGGAUCCCUUGUCAACAUCUCCCUUUAUUCUUGGAACAACUCUUGGAAGCCAUCCAAAUAAAAAAUUACGAACACAUGAAUCUUCAAAUUUGCAUGCAGAGUCUCUUCGUAAAUGUUUGAAGAUGAAAACACCAGAAGUACAACCGACUGUCCUUCAACAACUACUACGAAGACCCGAAUGUACGGAGAUGAACAGAACAUAUAUGUCUACGCUCAUUAAUUCUGCCUUUUUGUAAUUAAAAAACAGUGGGCAAUAGAUAGCAUAGGAGAUAUUUUUAAUUUCUUACACGAUCAGGAAUGCCCAACUGUUUUGAAUUUAUGGCAAAUCACCCAUCAGUGACUUACACCUCUUCAACUUCUGUCAAAAACAUUGUUCUUUCUAUUAACGCUUGUCUUGAGAAAUCACUCCUGACAACAAUAAGAAAUUCACCUUAUAUAGGUUUACUAGCAGAUGAGUCCACAGAUGAGGCCAACAGAACCAAGUUUGCAAUACUGAUAAGAUGUCUAGAUACAGAUAAAACCAUAAAAGAUCAUUUUUUAGGGAUGAUCAAUGUGAAGAAAACUGAUGCAGCAACUCUUGUGAGUAAAAUUGAGAGAUUUUUUAUUUCUAAAGAGAUAGCUAUAUCAAAGAUUCUGUUUGUUGGAUUUGAUGGGUGUAACACCAUGAGUGGUGAAAAUACUGGUCUCCAGCGCCGAUUUAGACAUGUGGUGCCUCACAGUUUGUACAUCAAUUGUAGAAGCCAUCGUCUAGCACUGUGUGUCAAACACUUGAUGAAAUAUUUUCCUGUACUAGAGGAUGUAGAUCUAGAUCUUCUGGCCAUCUAUAAGCUGUUUGACAAUUCACCUCAAAAGUUUGCUGUUUUUAAAGAUGUACAAGCUACAUUGUAGUUAUGCAGAGAAAGAGUUGGUCUUAAGACGAGCUGCUGCUACGAGAUGGUUAUCACAUGGGGAUGCAUGCAAAAGAGUCAUCCAAAGAUAUGUUCUGAUAAUUGACACACUUGAUGAACUGUUGGGUCGAACAAGAGAACCUGAAAUAUUAAGAGUC
Molecule: RNA transcript, 1731 nt
Organism: Saccostrea cuccullata (small rock oyster)
Lineage: Eukaryota; Metazoa; Mollusca; Bivalvia; Ostreida; Ostreidae
Exons: 4
Source: RefSeq, a predicted model, not a curated record